Molecule: long non-coding RNA, 524 nt
Organism: Hemicordylus capensis (graceful crag lizard)
Lineage: Eukaryota; Metazoa; Chordata; Lepidosauria; Squamata; Cordylidae
Exons: 5
Source: RefSeq, a predicted model, not a curated record
AGAGGAAGUUGCAGGCAGCAGAGGAGGGGCUGGAGGAAGCUCCCUGCUCUAGAGGAUUCCCUGGCUGCUGGAACUUGCAUCCUUGUUUUCUCAGUGACUCACUGUGACUGGCCCUGUUGAAGCAGAAAUUCCCCGGGUUCUGUGACAGAGACUGACACCAAGGUUUCAACUAUUUGCAAACCACCUGGACCUGGCAAGGUAUCAGAUUUCACACCAUAGAGCGCUUGCUGUUGUGUGGUGACUUCAGAGCCAUGGGAGAUGAAGGAAUCCAGAUCAGAACCAUGGUGUGGAAGACAAGGGGAUUAGCUCUUCCACCCACACCAAGGGCCCAAUGAAAAUAUACUUUCUUCUCGAAGCUGCUGUUUGUUUCAGGAAGGAACAGGUUUGCACCAAGCUCUUUCUGAACAACUGAACUAAUCUGAAGAUAUUGGAACCAUGGAGGUUGUUGAGUCUGUUCUGACUGUUCUGACAUUGUAUGGAAAGACUUCACCUUAGACUUGUCCUGAAUUAAACUCUGUAAAGUA